This 540-nucleotide long non-coding RNA is filed under the name Amborella trichopoda. Its description in RNAcentral is "long non-coding RNA (ATRI_LNC003522)". Lineage: Eukaryota; Viridiplantae; Streptophyta; Magnoliopsida; Amborellales; Amborellaceae. The record is from RNAcentral.
AAUAUCCUCAAAUUCAUCGUCUCGACAUCAAAAUGCAUGUACAUGAGAAAAAACUGGAUUUUAAAUAUUGGAAAUAAGACAUCUUGUAAUGCAUUUUUGGAUAAUUAGUUUUCAAGAUUUUUUAGUUUUCAUAUAUUUGCUCGAUCUAUACUAUUCUUGAAGGUUUUAAUUUUAUAAUUAAAGAUGAAAAUAUAUUUUAUGUCUAUCGCAAAAAUUUCCAGUAUUGAAAUCACAUUUCUCGAUACUAUUUGAAAGUCCGCUUCACUUUGAUUUAGAGAAUAGGGUGAUCCCGUGAUUUAUACUUUUUAUUAUUUCUAUCUUUUAUCUUUUUUUAAUUUUUAUUGAUUGAUUCUCAUCCAAAGAAUUAGUCGGAUCGUCGAUUCAAAUCAGUAUUUUGCCGAUUGAGCCUCGUUUUCUAGAUGGUCAGGUUACUUGGCAAAUAAAGUUUUAAAACACGGCCUUUUUAUUUUAUCCUAUUUUUUUUAUAAAACCUCGCAAUAUAAAAACCGUAUCCGUGACAAAAAAUCUAUAAAAUGUCCC